Long non-coding RNA from Halichondria panicea, 1682 nucleotides. RefSeq lists it as uncharacterized. Lineage: Eukaryota; Metazoa; Porifera; Demospongiae; Suberitida; Halichondriidae. The transcript is spliced from 6 exons. The record is from RefSeq and is a predicted model, not a curated record.
GGACGUGAGAGUCUGGGCCAAGAAGGAUCCACACCUGUGAGCGGCCAAGGACUGAUUGUUACCCCUGGACGUGAGAGUCUGGGCCAAGAAGGAUCCACACCUGUGAGCGGCCAAGGCUCGUUUCCCAAGGAGAUAACUAUAGCCGCAAUACAAUGUUUGACCAAUCACACUUGUAUAAUUAUAUAAUUAUGAUGAAAUGAAGAGCAUCAAGUGAUGUGGGUAACCGGAUGCCCAGGAAAAGGAAGAUCUCAGCCAGCAUUUAAGGCACACCCACAAAGCGUCCUGGAAUGAGGUGCAACAACUCCCGGCAGAUAGAGAUCCAUGACUCGUCGACUGUGUUGCCUAAUAAAGACGUGAUACAGUAUCUGGUAUCUGGACUGGGCGCAAAGCACCAGACGCAUUUAAGGUUCGGCAGUGGACUUGCGAAAUGCUAACUGUGUUGCCUAAUAAAGACGUGCUGGUGGAGGAACGGAAGAUGGAUGUUGGGUUGUUGGACUGCAGUACUCCCGGGAUACUUCUGUUACCCCGAAUAAGCCAACACCAGCUGGACUGGGCGCAAAGCACCAGACGCAAUUAAGGUUCGGCAGUGGACUUGCGAAAUGCUAACUGUGUUGCCUAAUAAAGACGUGCUGGUGGAGGAACGGAAGAUGGAUGUUGGGUUGUUGGACUGCAGUACUCUCGGGAUACUUCUGUUACCCCGAAUAAGCCAACACCAGCUGGACUGGGCGCAAAGCACCAGACGCAAUUAAGGUUCGGCAGUGGACUUGCGAAAUGCUACAGAUGCAUGACUCGUCGACUGUGUUGCCUAAUAAAGACAUGGUACAGUAUUUGGUGGAGGAACUAAAGGUGAGCUUUAGAUAGUCUAUUAUUGAUUAAACCUGGUACUCGAGGACAAUUUCCUCAUUCCCCUGUUCUCAGUUAUUCAUUAUAAUUAUGUUUGGUUUGUUUGGUUAUGUACUAUGUGAUCAGAUGUCGUAGCUUUUGGCUAACCUAACACUACAACGCUGGGAGGUUCCCAGUCGUUACAUAGAGUAACCUAAGUCAUACCGCCAGUGCUGUACGUACGUGCUGAUCAACCCUCCGACUCCUAGCAUCGGUGAUGCAAGUGUGUCCAGUGCAAUGUUCUCGAUUCUCAUUUGAAGGAUGGUUCUACUCAACCAUGUCUUAUAUAUUUAUGACUUGGACAAUGUUGCUUACCGCAGUAAAGUUCACCCAUGGUUGUACCGCUUAGGCGCACAGGUAUUACAUGUUCAUCAGCAGAUAUGUGUACGGUACGUCUCUUGUUAUGAUCGAUAUACACUUUGAGACAACGCAAUGUUUUUACAGAGUGAACACGUGACAAAUAAGAUCAUACGUUUAAAAUUGCCGCAAACAUUGGAACAUGGAUAGUAACAGUUUGUUUGCAGUUAUUAGUGAAAAGGAAAAUUGUGACAUAGAGAGGGACGUGAUGUUUCUCUACAUUAGCUAUAGUUGCUCAAUGGGUUGAAAGAUGAUUUCAGAUGCUUGUGUGACAGGUGUGCCACCUCUCUCCAGUGCCGGCCCAGGCUUGGGACUCUGUCUCAGACUCAGUAUUAUCUUGUGUCGCUUCGUUGUCACUACCACUUACAAGCGUCUUGCCACCCUCGACAUUACAGCAUGUUUCAGUUUUGACGUAAAAAAUUACAUAUAUUAAUUUGACACCA